Molecule: long non-coding RNA, 1395 nt
Organism: Episyrphus balteatus (marmalade hoverfly)
Lineage: Eukaryota; Metazoa; Arthropoda; Insecta; Diptera; Syrphidae
Exons: 3
Source: RefSeq, a predicted model, not a curated record
CGACCGAGAGAAGUCUGUACCUUUCCAUCAAGUCAACACUUCUAAUCCUCUUGUCGCUGAUGAGGAUGCUCUUAUUCAGCGUCGAUCCAAAAAACAAAACAAAUUGGUGGAUUCAUUUAAUCAAAGUAAUAAGUAAGUUACUUUACAAAAGAACUAUAUAGUUGAUGGUAUGUGUCUAUACGAUUUAGUAUUUGCAGUGUUUAACCAGAACCCAAGGGUAGGGUAGUGAACAACAGAGCCAUUUGCCUUAUUUUCUGGAUAUGUCAUUGAAAACAAUAAGUAUAUCAAGUCCACCACUUGGCGCAGGAGCUCUUGGUGAUGCUGAUCCAUGGGGAACUCCAGCUGGAGCUGCAAGUCAAGUCGUAUUUUUAAAUUCUUUCUAACAUUUCUUUCUAUUUUAGUUCUCUGAUCCUUGGUCAGGUAAAUCGUACAUCUUCACCACAAAUCGAUGCUUGGUAUGCAAAUGUUCCUUAAGCAUCUGGUGGUGCUGCUGGUGGCGAUGAAGGAUGGCUCACACAAUAUACGCAAUCAUCAUCUGUAGCUUCUAGUUCUUCCUGGCUGCAGAGCAACAUCUUUCAAAUGACACCAUGUAUGGAAAUUCAUCAACCUCACUAUAUCGAAACCUAUAUGGUUAUCGAAAACUUCAGUUACGGGAGCAGCAGCUGCUGCAUCUCCCACCAUCUCUACCAUUAGUUCAAAAACCAGCAGUGGUUCGGUUGAUCCUUCGCUGCCUGUAUAUGAAUAUGAAGCAAAAUCAUUAGAAAAAUCAUCAUCAAGAUCCUUGGGCACCAAAAGCUCAACCAAUCUCUGCUAAUAAUGGUGAUCCAUGGAGGAGAACUAGAAAUAAGACAUCGUCAGUGGCAAAUGUUUCACCUGAUUUGGAUGACUGAUAUAAUUACGAAUAGAGUGGAGAGUGCACGACACUUGGCCCAAACAAUAACAAUUGUAUUCAAGAUAGUUUAUGUUUUAAAUGCAAUCCAUUGGAUUACUCAAAAUAUUAAAUUAAAAUUAAGCAUCACUUUUGGAUGAAUUGGAUCCAUUAUCAACAAGAAGCCAUCAUUGAAAAAACCACAAUCGUUCUUGGGUCAAAAGUCAGCGUUAGUGAAUUUGGACAAUUUGAUUAAACCAAUUGCGACGAGCAAUACAAUUGGCAGUGUUGCCUUCAGCGUAUAAUCCAUUUAGUGAUACACUUGCACCUAAAAAAAAUCUAUUGUAACCUAGGUCGUCAGUACUGUUCCGUUCAUAAAUCAACUCAAGCAACAACAACCUUUUAAAUCAAGAUCCUUUGGUACCAGUUAGUAAUGCAGCGCUAAAGGUAAAUUUGUUAUUACGAUCUUGCAACUUGCAAAUAAUUCUGGUUUUUCUUAAAUUAAAAAUAAUAAUACGAAAGCUAGA